GCUGCUGAGUCUUCUUCGGUUGUA
RNAcentral lists this non-coding RNA (24 nucleotides) under Arabidopsis thaliana (thale cress). The record is from RNAcentral. Lineage: Eukaryota; Viridiplantae; Streptophyta; Magnoliopsida; Brassicales; Brassicaceae.